GUCGCUACUACCGAUUGGGAAAGUUUCAGAGUGUCUAGGACUGGCUAUUGUUCGGCUUCACGGCCUUACUUUAGCCGGAAAUAGACGCGAUGUAAUUUUUCUAGAGGAAGUAA
RNAcentral lists this ribosomal RNA (113 nucleotides) under uncultured eukaryote. Its description in RNAcentral is "partial small subunit ribosomal RNA". It matches the Rfam family "Eukaryotic small subunit ribosomal RNA", at positions 1675 to 1785 of the family's 1831-position model. The record is from RNAcentral.